Molecule: ribosomal RNA, 429 nt
Filed under: uncultured bacterium
Lineage: Bacteria
Description: bacterial SSU rRNA
Rfam family: Bacterial small subunit ribosomal RNA
Source: RNAcentral
UGGGGAAUAUUGGACAAUGGGCGCAAGCCUGAUCCAGCAAUGCCGCGUGUGUGAAGAAGGCCUAAGGGUUGUAAAGCACUUUCGUUAGGGAGGAAGUUUAUUAGGUUAAGAGCUAAAUAAAUUGACGUUACCUAAAAAAGAAGCACCGGCUAACUCUGUGCCAGCAGCCGCGGUAAUACAGAGGGUGCGAGCGUUAAUCGGAAUUACUGGGCGUAAAGAGUGCGUAGGCGGAAAUAUAAGUCAGAUGUGAAAUCCCUGGGCUCAACCUAGGAAUGGCAUUUGAAACUGUAUCUCUAGAGCAGAAAAGAGGAGAGUAGAAUUUCAGGUGUAGCGGUGAAAUGCGUAGAUAUCUGAAGGAAUACCGGUGGCGAAGGCGGCUCUCUGGUUUCAUGCUGACGCUGAGGCACGAAAGCGUGGGGAGCGAACAGG